This 314-nucleotide ribosomal RNA is filed under the name uncultured eukaryote. Its description in RNAcentral is "partial 18S ribosomal RNA". It matches the Rfam family "Eukaryotic small subunit ribosomal RNA", at positions 1470 to 1796 of the family's 1831-position model. The record is from RNAcentral.
CCCUUAGAUGUUCUGAACCGCACGCGUGUUACACUGAUGCAUUCAACGAGCUUUACCUUGGCCGAGAGGCCUGGGAAAUCUUUUUAGCAUGCAUCGUGAUAGGGAUUGAUUAUUGCAAUUAUUAAUCAUGAACGAGGAAUUCCUAGUAAACGCAUUUCAUCAAAAUGCAUUGAUUACGUCCCUGCCCUUUGUACACACCGCCCGUCGCACCUACCGAUUGAAUGGUCCGGUGAAGCCUCCGGAUUGGCGCGCACCUCGGUGCCGCCGAGAAGUUGGCUAAACCUUACCAUUUAGAGGAAGGUGAAGUCGUAACA